AUGUGGUUUGCAGGUGGUGCUUUUGCAGGAGGUGAGAAACCUGGCACUGCGCAGAGGCUUGCGCGCAGCCUGCCUCCUCUUGCGUUGGCCGCAGAUGCCAGCAGCGAUGAGUCGGGCUGGAGAGAGCGGGACAACACACUGGGGCUGAGCAUGGCUUUUGUCCUGUCCUGCGCUGUGCUUGUGCUCCUGCUGCCGCUGGCUUUUCCCCAAGAGGCUCUCAGAUGUCGUGAGAGCAAAGUAAUUCUUGUAACCAAGGGGGAGCCCAUCUCGAUCGUGUGUCCUUUCCAUGAACGCUGCAGCACUGACAAUACCUUCUAUGAGAUCAUCUGGAGCUAUGAGAAAGACUUGAGAAGGAUCCUGCAGUUUAGGACGACACCUCCUAAUAAAACCUCUGUUAUGUUACGCAAGGAAGGUCACUUUGGAGGUCAGCAACUCAGCUCAGCUUCCGAGGGCCUCCACUGCUCUGCACCUCCAGGCAGCGAAGUCACCUUGGAGUGCGAUUUCUCCGCCAAUGUGACUGGCAACUUCACAGAGCUCUUCUGGCUGCAUGAGCGAGAGGAGAGCCCACCCCGACUCAUCGCGUGGCACCACAAAUCCAGUUGCCCGGACAGGAACAGCACUGAGAGUCGCUUUCGGAGCUCGUUAGAUCUGGAAAAUCACCAGAGCCGUCUCACCAUUUCCAGGCUGCAUACGAGUGACAGCAGCUGGUACCAGUGUGAGAGCCUGGGGGAGUUUUCUGGCAAGCAGAGAGGGAGGGGAACCAACCUCACUGUCAAGGCUCCUCGCUUUCUCUGGAAGGAGCCCCAGUGCUGGGGGCCAGGGACAAAGGUGACAUCCCAAGAGGGACGGGGAGCUGUGCUGUACAUCCUGUGCUCAUGGUGCUGUGGAUGGAUUCCCUUUCAUCGCAUCAAGAUGUAUGACAACUCUUGCCAGCCUCAUGUACUCCAGCAGCUCCUGAAACCCAGCUGUGCAAGGUGCUGUACAGUUGCAUCAGGUCUAACUAGCACCUCUUAACCUGCUGGUACUGCACGUAUGGGUCUUCCUCAGCAGCAUUUGCAUUAUAGCUGCUCUGAUUAGCCCCUCUCACUGUUUUUGGUCUCUCUGUUCCCAAGGGCCAUCACGUCACAGUAAAUUGGGCAAGGUUGCGUGGGGAGAAGUGCUUUUGUUAGACCAACUGUUAAAGAAUGUGGAAAAAAUAGAUGAGCCAUUGGGUGCACGAGCCCUUGUUCAGAGCACUGCAGCGUAUCGUAGCAGAGCAAGCGCCCACUUGCUGCAUUUCAUGCUCUGGCAACACUGGUGCUUCCUCUUCAGGAGCUGCCUGUGUUGGGGACACGGUGCCAGGCUGAUCUAACAAGGCACGGCCCUGUCUUGGGUGAAGGAUAGAGUGCAUGGCUUUGUUUCCCCUGAAACUCAGAACGUGCAUGGGACAGUUGUGUCAGGGACCAUGUGCAAACAUCUUUGGUGGCUUGGAGGCCACAGGAUAGCGACUGCACCCUGGGACCAGUGCUAGGCACUGUGGAGGAGAAGGAAAAGGGCCAUUUCUGGAUGGGGAAGGGGCAGCAUCAGGAGGGGUGAGCCUGCCUGUGGAGGCAGGAGGUAUCGACUGGGUAUGGACCCUGCAAACUGCCUGCUGACAGCCCUGCUGCAAGGGACCGGCAUGUGCUCAUGGCUGGGGGAGGCAGGAAUGUACCAAGAGAAUGCACGGCUUGGAGGGAGGUCAGUGCACAACAUUGGACGGCCGUGUAAUGUGGCGUCCCUGGGCUGUUCUGGGGGACAGUGAUGGCAUUUUACAUGCAGGGAGGGUCUUUACGGUCUGUGAAUCUGACAGUCUUUUGCUUUAACCAUCUGCUGCAACUAACUUUCCGCACAAGGCACCAGCUGCGCUGCAGCCGCAUCUCCCUGCACUUCGUCUCUUGGGAACUGGCUCCUGGCAGGCAGAUCUGGCAGGGCCCGCUGUGUGUUCACCUAGGGCUGCUAUUUAUGAGGCAGCUACAGCAAAGAGGCAGCAUUCCUA
RNAcentral lists this long non-coding RNA (2014 nucleotides) under Struthio camelus australis. RNAcentral describes it as "lncRNA (ENSSCUG00000018853.1)". The record is from RNAcentral. Lineage: Eukaryota; Metazoa; Chordata; Aves; Struthioniformes; Struthionidae.